UGGCUCAGGAUGAACGCUGGCGGUCUGCUUAACACAUGCAAGUCGAACGGAAUCCUUAGGGAUUUAGUGGCGGACGGGUGAGUAACACGUAAGAACCUGCCUCUAGGACGGGGACAACAGUUGGAAACGACUGCUAAACCCGGAUGAGCCGAAAGGUAAAAGAUUAAUCGCCUAGAGAGGGGCUUGCGUCUGAUUAGCUAGUUGGUGAGGUAAGAGCCCACCAAGGCGACGAUCAGUAGCUGGUCUGAGAGGAUGAUCAGCCACACUGGGACUGAGACACGGCCCAGACUCCUACGGGAGGCAGCAGUGGGGAAUUUUCCGCAAUGGGCGAAAGCCUGACGGAGCAAGACCGCGUGGGGGAGGAAGGUUCUUGGAUUGUCAACCCCUUUUCUCAGGGAAGAACACAAUGACGGUACCUGAGGAAAAAGCAUCGGCUAACUCCGUGCCAGCAGCCGCGGUAAUACGGGGGAUGCAAGCGUUAUCCGGAAUGAUUGGGCGUAAAGAGUCCGUAGGUAGUCAUCCAAGUCUGCUGUUAAAGAGCGAGGCUUAACCUCGUAAAGGCAGUGGAAACUGGAAGACUAGAGUGUAGUAGGGGCAGAGGGAAUUCCUGGUGUAGCGGUGAAAUGCGUAGAGAUCAGGAAGAACACCGGUGGCGAAGGCGCUCUGCUGGGCUAUAACUGACACUGAGGGACGAAAGCUAGGGGAGCGAAUGGGAUUAGAUACCCCAGUAGUCCUAGCGGUAAACGAUGGAAACUAGGUGUGGCCUGUAUCGACCCGAGCCGGNNCCGAANC
RNAcentral lists this ribosomal RNA (792 nucleotides) under Planktothrix agardhii TURKEYBLM3. RNAcentral describes it as "bacterial SSU rRNA". It matches the Rfam family "Bacterial small subunit ribosomal RNA", at positions 20 to 852 of the family's 1533-position model. Lineage: Bacteria; Bacillati; Cyanobacteriota; Cyanophyceae; Oscillatoriales; Microcoleaceae. The record is from RNAcentral.